AUUUUUUAUAUUUUGAGUAGAAGUAAAUAUUCUCGCCAAUGGGCGAGAUUUUUUAAUAUCGCUCUAAGUUAUUAGUCGAAUUAAGUCAAUAUGAGUGGAAUUUUGUGUCAUAAUGAUUAUAAACAUACACUCAUUCAUUUAUAACCUCCAAAACAUGAAUUCUGAUCGAAAUUAAACAUUCUUUUUCAUUUUG
This is a long non-coding RNA of Haliotis rubra (blacklip abalone), 193 nucleotides long. RefSeq lists it as uncharacterized. The record is from RefSeq and is a predicted model, not a curated record. Lineage: Eukaryota; Metazoa; Mollusca; Gastropoda; Lepetellida; Haliotidae. The transcript is spliced from 2 exons.